Molecule: ribosomal RNA, 1405 nt
Filed under: uncultured bacterium
Lineage: Bacteria
Description: bacterial SSU rRNA
Rfam family: Bacterial small subunit ribosomal RNA
Source: RNAcentral
AGAGUUUGAUCCUGGCUCAGAUUGAACGCUGGCGGAACGCUUUACACAUGCAAGUCGAACGGUAACAGCGAGGAAAGCUUGCUUUUUUCGGCUGACGAGUGGCGAACGGGUGAGUAAUACAUCGGAACGUGUCCGCUCGUGGGGGACAACCAUCCGAAAGGAUGGCUAAUACCGCAUGAGUUCUACGGAAGAAAGAGGGGGACCUGCUUGCAGGCCUCUCGCGAGCGGAGCGGCCGAUGACUGAUUAGCCGGUUGGUGAGGUAACGGCUCACCAAAGCAACGAUCAGUAGCUGGUCUGAGAGGACGACCAGCCACACUGGGACUGAGACACGGCCCAGACUCCUACGGGAGGCAGCAGUGGGGAAUUUUGGACAAUGGGCGCAAGCCUGAUCCAGCUAUUCCGCGUGUGGGAUGACGGCCCUCGGGUUGUAAACCACUUUAGUAGAGAACGAAAAGGAGCUAUCGAAUAAAUAGCUCUGCUGACGGUACUCUAAGAAUAAGCACCGGCUAACUACGUGCCAGCAGCCGCGGUAAUACGUAGGGUGCGAGCGUUAAUCGGAAUUACUGGGCGUAAAGGGUGUGCAGGCGGCUGAGUAAGACAGAUGUGAAAUCCCCGGGCUUAACCUGGGAACCGCAUAUGUGACUGCUUGGCUAGAGUGCGUCAGAGGGAGGUGGAAUUCCACGUGUAGCAGUGAAAUGCGUAGAUAUGUGGAAGAACACCGAUGGCGAAGGCAGCCUCCUGGGACGCAACUGACGCUCAUACACGAAAGCGUGGGGAGCAAACAGGGUUAGAUACCCUGGUAGUCCACGCCCUAAACGAUGUCAACUAGUUGUUGGGGAUUAAAAUUCUCAGUAACGCAGCCAACGCGUGAAGUUGACCGCCUGGGAAGUACGGUCGCAAGACUAAAACUCAAAGGAAUUGACGGGGACCCGCACAAGCGGUGGAUGAUGUGGAUUAAUUCGAUGCAACGCGAAAAACCUUACCUACCCUUGACAUGUCAGAGAAGCUUUUGUAAUGAGAGUGUGCCCGCAAGGGCGUCUGAACACAGGUGCUGCAUGGCUGUCGUCAGCUCGUGUCGUGAGAUGUUGGGUUAAGUCCCGCAACGAGCGCAACCCUUGUCACUAGUUGCUACGAAAGGGCACUCUAGUGAGACUGCCGGUGACAAACCGGAGGAAGGUGGGGAUGACGUCAAGUCCUCAUGGCCCUUAUGGGUAGGGCUUCACACGUCAUACAAUGGUCGGAACAGAGGGCAGCCAACCCGUGAGGGGGAGCAAAUCCCAGAAAACCGAUCGUAGUCCGGAUUGCAGUCUGCAUCUCGACUGCAUGAAGUCGGAAUCGCUAGUAAUCGCGGAUCAGCAUGCCGCGGUGAAUACGUUCCCAGGUCUUGCACUCACCGCCCGUCAA